GGAACUAGCAGGAGCAUUAAG
Molecule: microRNA, 21 nt
Filed under: Nematostella vectensis (starlet sea anemone)
Lineage: Eukaryota; Metazoa; Cnidaria; Anthozoa; Actiniaria; Edwardsiidae
Description: nve-miR-2028-3p
Source: miRBase by way of RNAcentral